RNAcentral lists this ribosomal RNA (611 nucleotides) under uncultured archaeon. Its description in RNAcentral is "bacterial SSU rRNA". It matches the Rfam family "Archaeal small subunit ribosomal RNA", at positions 213 to 824 of the family's 1478-position model. The record is from RNAcentral.
GUCUGCGGCCUAUCAGGUAGUAGUGGGUGUAGCGUACCUACUAGCCUACGACGGGUACGGGUUGUGAGAGCAAGAGCCCGGAGAUGGAUUCUGAGACACGAAUCCAGGCCCUACGGGGUGCAGCAGGCGCGAAAACUUUACAAUGCUGGCAACAGCGAUAAGGGAACCUCGAGUGCCAGGUUACAAAUCUGGCUGUCGAGAUGCCUAAAAAGCAUUUCAUAGCAAGGGCCGGGCAAGACCGGUGCCAGCCGCCGCGGUAACACCGGCGGCUCGAGUGGUAACCGUUAUUAUUGGGUCUAAAGGGUCUGUAGCCGGCCGGAUAAGUCUCUUGAGAAAUCUGGCAGCUUAACUGUCAGGCUUUCAGGAGAUACUGUCUGGCUCGAGGCCGGGAGAGGUGAGAGGUACUUCAGGGGUAGGGGUGAAAUCUUGUAAUCCUUGAAGGACCACCAGUGGCGAAGGCGUCUCACCAGAACGGACCUGACGGCAAGGGACGAAAGCUAGGGGCACGAACCGGAUUAGAUACCCGGGUAGUCCUAGCCGUAAACGAUACUCGCUAGGUGUCGGCCACGGUGCGACCGUUGUCGGUGCCGUAGGGAAGCCGUGAAGCGAGC